UACGUAGGGGGCGAGCGUUGUCCGGAGUUACUGGGCGUAAAGCGCACGCAGGCGGUCUGCUAAGUUUGGAGUGACAGUUGGUGGCUUAACUGCCAAAGUGCUUCGAAAACUGACAGACUUGAGGGCUUCAGAGGGACACGGAAUUCCGGGUGGAGUGGUGAAAUGCGUAGAGAUCCGGAGGAACACCAAAGGCGAAGGCAGUGUCCUGGGGUUGUUCUGACGCUGAGGAGCGAAAGCUAGGGGAGCAAACGGG
This 253-nucleotide ribosomal RNA is filed under the name uncultured bacterium. RNAcentral's name for it is "partial 16S ribosomal RNA". It matches the Rfam family "Bacterial small subunit ribosomal RNA", at positions 524 to 776 of the family's 1533-position model. The record is from RNAcentral.